UGAGGAAUAUUGGUCAAUGGGCGCAAGCCUGAACCAGCCAUGCCGCGUGCAGGAUGACGGUCCUAUGGAUUGUAAACUGCUUUUGUACGAGAAGAAACACUGAUUCGUGAAUCAGCUUGACGGUAUCGUAAGAAUAAGGAUCGGCUAACUCCGUGCCAGCAGCCGCGGUAAUACGGAGGAUCCAAGCGUUAUCCGGAAUCAUUGGGUUUAAAGGGUCCGUAGGCGGUCUUGUAAGUCAGUGGUGAAAGCCCAUCGCUCAACGGUGGAACGGCCAUUGAUACUGCUAAACUUGAAUUAUUAGGAAGUAACUAGAAUAUGUAGUGUAGCGGUGAAAUGCUUAGAGAUUACAUGGAAUACCAAUUGCGAAGGCAGGUUACUACUAAUGGAUUGACGCUGAUGGACGAAAGCGUGGGUAGCGAACA
This 422-nucleotide ribosomal RNA is filed under the name uncultured Flavobacterium sp. RNAcentral's name for it is "bacterial SSU rRNA". It matches the Rfam family "Bacterial small subunit ribosomal RNA", at positions 355 to 774 of the family's 1533-position model. The record is from RNAcentral. Lineage: Bacteria; Pseudomonadati; Bacteroidota; Flavobacteriia; Flavobacteriales; Flavobacteriaceae.